Molecule: long non-coding RNA, 1156 nt
Organism: Zonotrichia leucophrys gambelii
Lineage: Eukaryota; Metazoa; Chordata; Aves; Passeriformes; Passerellidae
Exons: 3
Source: RefSeq, a predicted model, not a curated record
CAGCCUGGCAGGAGGGAGCAGAGCUCAGGUUGGGCUCUCCCAGCUCCAGAGCAUGUGGCCAAAGGCAUAUGAUAAAGCCAAAUGGGUGAUUUUUUCAUGGAGACUAAUCGAGCCCAUUAGCCAACAGCCCAUAACUGGUUUACAGAGACUAACACUGCAAUUCUCUGCCCAAGGCAUGGCUCCUGGAGUGUCUGCAGGAGAGAUCAGGCUCCAGGGGAAACGCGGAGCCGCAGAAGCGCCGGGCUGCAGCUGGAGCAAACAUCACAAACAUCUCACCGUGUUCAAACAGCCCUGCUGCCUUCAGCUGGCCAGCCUGACCCAGGAGGAACCUGCUGCUGCUGCGGGAGGAUUGCACCUCCAGCUGCCCAAACAGCCACGGGAUUAACACCUCAUGGCCAGGACGCUGUUUGUGAAAAACAGCUUAUUUAGAUUCUCUGUAACACAUGAUGAGAGGACAAAGCACUCUGCAGUACAGGGACAAACCUUGUUUAAAAUGUAUUCCUGGGUAUUGGAUGGAAUGGAAAACAUGAACUGGUUUAACUGGCAUUUGGUAUUUUCUAGGGUGCUUGGUUUGUUUGUUUUCCAUGUGGAUUACAUUUUCUUUGAGACACUUCCAUCUAGACUGGUUGAUGAAGAUCUCAUGGAGGUUCACAGCUUUUCCAAGGUUGCUGUCUCUGGCUAUCCAGACUACAUUGGAAGGUUUCCAAGGCAAAAAUGUCAAAGUUAAGCUCAGCAUUAAGCUUUCAUUUCUGGUAUUUUAUAUUUGGGUUCAUCAGGAUUUAGCCAGGAGUCUCAGGAUCCCAUAGGGCUCAAUAUGAUCUUGCUAACCAAAUACUCAUCAGUGUUCUAUUCCUACACAUCCUCCAUGAUCCCAUGAUUUGUCUUUGCUUCUGUCUUUCUACAGCUUCUGUGGAUCUUUAGAGAAAGCUCUUUGCCGAGCUUAGUUUAACAAAAACAAAUAUUACAUGCAAUUUGUUCUGGAUAGAAAUGUGCCCCGAUUCCAACUCCAGGAAGAUUUUAUCUAGACUUUCUCUUUUUCACUUUUUCCUUUGAGAAGAAGGAGAUUGUUCCUGGGAAGAGCUGGAUAAUGAAACCAGAGACUGCACACUUUGGAGGAGCCGGUGGGGGGAACCUGAAGGGGUUGGAGUGGUGGAGC